UCUACACCUGAAAUGGAAUCAGCUGGAGAAGCUCUGUCAGGAUCCCAGAGGGAAGACCCAUUGGAGUUUGAUGCUGAUGAAACAUCAGGGGAAGAUUUGCUUGAAAUCUUACCCGAACCCAUUCUUGAAACCAUGUCUACAGACUUGUCCGAUCCUGGAGUCUCUGACAACUUAGCGGCCGAACCUAGUCCUAUGACAUUACCAACUCUUAAUUGCUCAGAUUCGGUUAUUGACCCCCCUUUGAGGCGGUCAACGCGUCACAGAUCACCACCUAGGCGACUGCAGUAUGCCCGCUUAGGCAAUCCAUUGAUAUCAGUUGUUCAGUCUCUGUUUCAUAGUCUGUCAGAUGCUUUAACCACCGCAACCACCAAUUCUAACCCUUCAGUCGUACAUAUUGUGUAGUGUUGUCAUGCAACGGGACGUGCAUGUAUUCAAGGGGGGAGGGUGUAACCCAGAGUAAUUUCCUGCACUUAUUUCCUCCCAUUGAACGCAUCACAAAUGCAUGACUCCAACCACAUGACUUUGCUCAGCCAAUCGAAUGGCAUGUAGGUCAUAGUAAGCCUGUCCCGGCUUCCUCCCGUCAGAUGCGUGGAGGCAAGCCAGGUGACAGAGCUGUUGCAGAUGCUGAUUACUGUGAGCCAGAGCCAUAAUGUUGUUGUGCACUGAACAGAAUGGAAUUGGUGAGUUUGAACUUUUAAUUGACUGUUUGUAUUGCUACCAGCUGACCCUAAUCGGCUGCUGCCGGUC
Long non-coding RNA from Astatotilapia calliptera (eastern happy), 747 nucleotides. NCBI's taxonomy places the organism in Eukaryota, Metazoa, Chordata, Actinopteri, Cichliformes, Cichlidae. The record is from Ensembl.